Molecule: long non-coding RNA, 1216 nt
Organism: Gallus gallus (chicken)
Lineage: Eukaryota; Metazoa; Chordata; Aves; Galliformes; Phasianidae
Exons: 2
Source: RefSeq, a predicted model, not a curated record
GGGUGGAGAAAAAGCAUGGGCAGGAGGAGAAACAGAAGGAGGUGCUCCAAGCGCUAGGGCAGAGAUUCUCCCGCAGCCGCUGCUGGAGGCAGCGGGGCACGUCACCACACCCCAAGGGAUGCUGCAGCCUGCUCAGAGCCCACACAGGUACAGGGGAGAAGUGGAGGAGGAAGGAGCGGCCGAGCAGAGCUGUGGGGGGACUGACCGCUACCGCCCCUCACCCCUGCACCUCUCACGCUGCGGGGACGUCGAGGACUCGUGCGUGAAGGAGGGUAUUUGGGCUCGGGGAAGAGGGGAGGGGGGUCAGGUGCUUUUGUUUCUCACCAUCCAAGUCUGUCCAAAAUGUGCAAUGACUCCAAGCAACUUCCCCCACGUCUAUUCUGCUUUGCCUCUGGUGAGCGAGCUCCCUGUCCGUGUCUUGACCCAUGAGAAUGCCCAUCGCCUUCCCUACUCUGUCCCGUUGAGGACACUGAGUGACCGAGUAGCUGGCUGUGCAUCGGGCUGCUGGCUGAGGUCAGCCCGCCACUGCAACUUCUACAGUACAUACAGACACAGAAUUAUUAAAAAGGAUUUGAUAAAGUUCCUUCCUGCUGUUGUUGCGGAGCAGCGCCCACACUGAGCCCAGGACUUUUCUGCUUCUUACGGCGCCCUGCCAGCAAGGAGGUUGGCAGUGCACGAGAAGAUGGCACGCGACACAGACCGCACACCAUCAGGCUGCUGGCCAAGGUCAGCGCGACACGGCAGUCUAUGUAUAGAAAUUACACAUACAUUCAAAUGCAGGGAGACCUUCAUACAGGUAAGUAAAGCUUUUUUUCGCCUUCAUAUUCAGCCACGCUGCACACCGUGCUAGAUAAGAGCUGGUUACGUGCAGUGAGCCCUGGGAUCCUAGAAGCGGCUGAAUAGUUGCCUGUCAAAGGGAAGCGGCAAACGUUUCCCUUGGCUUGCGGGCACGCCUUUUCAUUUACCUAGCAAACCGUCUUUACCUAAACCCGCGUGUGCUCCCACUUCCAUCCUUCCGAUUCUUUCCCCAUCACAGCUGGGGAGGCUGCGUGGUGCUCCGCUUUCUGCCAGGUUAAGCAGCGACAACUACACAUAACAGGCACACAGGCAUCCAGACCGAGCAGUUAAACCUAUGCCUGUACUCCUCAAAGCGUAGCUGUGAAACGGGCAGGGCGUUCCUUCGUGCCGGCUAACAAAAUAAAGAAUUCAAGUUUCA